This 599-nucleotide ribosomal RNA is filed under the name Najas guadalupensis. Its description in RNAcentral is "28S rRNA". It matches the Rfam family "Eukaryotic large subunit ribosomal RNA", at positions 751 to 2166 of the family's 3401-position model. Lineage: Eukaryota; Viridiplantae; Streptophyta; Magnoliopsida; Alismatales; Hydrocharitaceae. The record is from RNAcentral.
AAGUGCACCGUCGACCGACCUAGAUCUUCUGAGAAGGGUUGGAGUGUGAGCAUGCCUGUCGGGACCCGAAAGAUGGUGAACUAUGCCUGAGCAGGGCGAAGCCAGAGGAAACUCUGGUGGAGGCCCGCUGCGAUACUGACGUGCNAAUCGUUCGUCUGACUUGGGUAUAGGGGCGAAAGACUAAUCGAACCAUCUAGUAGCUGAACCGGGAUGUGGCGGUGGACGGCGACGUUAGGGAGUCAGGAGACGUCUGCGGGGGCCUAGGGAAGAGUUAUCUUUUCUGUUUAANAGCCUGCCCACCCUGGAAACGGCUCAGUGGAGGUAGGGUCCAGUGGCUGGAAGAGCACAGCACGUCCUGUGGUGUCCGGUGCGCCCCCGUAGGCCCUUGAAAAUCCGGAGAACGGAAAAGGAUUGGCUCUGAGGACUGGGCACGGGGGUCGAGGCCCUGAACCCGCCGGCUGUUGGUGGACUGCUCGAGCUGCUUCGCGUGUUGGCAGGGGGACGGCUUCGGGAGCGUUCCUCGGGCAUCGAACGGUCAACUCAGAACUGGUACGGACAAGGGGGAUCCGACUGUUUAAUUAAAACAAAGCAUUGCGAUG